GGAAGGGUCUCUUUCUGGAGAUUCCUCCUUUUGGAGUUUUCUACUAAUUAUACUUCUGCAUUUUCUCCUGGUGCCACUCUGCAUUUCUGGAACUUGGCAGAUCCUAUCUACAGCAAGAGAUGAAAGAGAUCUUGCAAGGGUACCCGGGUGUUCCUAUUGCAAAUGCUGUGCUUGGAGCUUACAAAUAAAGGACAAGGAAAAGAAAAGGCUUUGAACAAAAAUUCACAUGAUGUAGCUGUCAUUAACUGCUGCAAGUACUUGCAGAACGCAUGUGCAAGAAUGAGAUGAUACCCACUUUCUCAGACAGACAGGAUAUCCUAUACAAUCCAAGAAAUCGUCCAGGAUAAAGGCUAUUUUACAAAUAUCUAGCGAGAAAAAGACUAAUAAUCUCUUUCUCCUUUACAUCUUCCUGUUAACUAAACUCUACCUUUUCAAACCUCUGAGCAAGUAUCUGAAGGACAUCAAGCCUGGGCCAGUUGUGAGGAAUUAAUAGAACAUACAAAGGGAUUGUGCUGUGUACAACAUCACAAUUAACUUACUCAUUAAAUAGGUAAUAGCACUUGACUGUUAAAUGGUGAAGGAAUGUGUUUGCUAAAUGAAUUUUGCUACUUGUUUAAAGGAUAUGGUUUAGGGUCUCAUUAAAUAAUGAUGUUUCCAGGAAAGGCUGAUUGCAAAUCCUGCCCUUUCUCCUGGCUCAGAGACCUUCAUCUCACAGAAUCAAAGAAUCUCAUUCCCAGAGAAUUUGAAUGAGAACAUGUAUUUUCUCAGAUUUGAUGCACUGUUGGCCACAGCUAUGCAGAGAAUAAGCCAUCCACAACCAGAUGAAAUCUGCAAGUAUGAUAUCCUAAGAAAUCAAGGAAAGGUGUUUUCUUUCACUCUCCAGUAAAUAAAGUUUCAGAUCUCUUUAAACAAUUUGAGAUAUCAAACAUACUUCUCAGAAGAAUCAACAGAAGCAUCAUGUUCCUCAAAGUCAUACUUUGUUUGUUCUUCCAUUCCAGAAGUUUCCUUAACAACAAGGAUAAUCAAGCUUUGACAGGAUUGUGCUCUGAAAUGUCAGUGCUGUUUAUUUUUUGCUCUUGACUUCAACAGUAUGAUCUAAAUUAUCAGAUCUUGAUCUAUGGGAAUCAUAAAUCAUAGGAAACAGGUACCUAAAGAAUUGAAUAGUAAGUUUCACUUUGUUUUCAAGGUAGUCUAGUAUUAGAUAUGGAGGUUGGUGGCCCUGCCUGCAGCAGGGCAGGUUGGAGCUUGUUGACCCUUGAGGGCCCUUCCAACCCAAGCCAUUCUAUGAUUCUGUGAAAUUUGAGUCUAUAGCUCCACAAGUUUUUUGUCCAGUCAAAUUAUUGUUCUGUUUUGUUUGGUUUUGCUUUAAUAUUCUUUUUAAUUGCUUAAAAUGAAACACUGCAAUAUCUGAUUUUCCCCAAAGUUUGAAGACAAGAUAUUCUGAUCUGAAGUUCUGCUGAGGAAUGUGUCUAAUUUUAAUUAAAGCAAACUAUUACAGAAUGUAAACGCUGCAAGUUUCUGUUCAAUUCUCCCUUGGUACAGGCCAUCUUAUAAAUACAGUGUCAUCUCUUUGAAAGUGAGACAGACUCUCUAACCUCUUGCAGGAUGCAUAAAAUCCUGCCCAUAUGUCAUGUGGCUGCCACCUUAACUUCUCAUGAGACAGGAAAUCCUGGCAACCAUUUCAGAACUUGAAAAAGCACUUUUUAAGAAGUUUGUUUGUUCUUGUUGUUGUUUUUAAUAUAAAAGCAAAGCUUCAUGUUGUCUAAACCAUCAUUGAGUUUCUUCUUAUAGGAUAAACCCUUUCCUCAGUGCUUAGCUCAUGGCUUUCAGCUGGAUACUGGGGAGCUAAGUGGAAGAAAAGGAAGAAAUAUUUUCUUCAUAAAUUCCAAGCAAGAUGUUGUUCUUUCUAAAGAAAUUACAUUGUUUCAGUGGCUUCAGCCUAUUUCCAGCUUUCAGUCCUGUG
This is a long non-coding RNA of Tympanuchus pallidicinctus (lesser prairie-chicken), 1963 nucleotides long. RefSeq lists it as uncharacterized. The transcript has 4 exons. The record is from RefSeq and is a predicted model, not a curated record. Lineage: Eukaryota; Metazoa; Chordata; Aves; Galliformes; Phasianidae.